Solanum pennellii is the source of this 1003-nucleotide long non-coding RNA. RefSeq lists it as uncharacterized. Lineage: Eukaryota; Viridiplantae; Streptophyta; Magnoliopsida; Solanales; Solanaceae. The transcript is spliced from 4 exons. The record is from RefSeq and is a predicted model, not a curated record.
UCUGAUGAUAUUUUGGAACAAAUUAAGUUUGAAUAACUAAAUGCAACAGCAAAUACUUUAGCACAAACUGUUGGAAAGUUGAAACAGAGAAGGUGUACAUUUAAUUAGGGAACAACAGACAGAGCGAUAGACAGUCAAAACUGUGCCUAAACACCUGCAUAAGUUCUUAAAUUUCACAUGCGGUUUCACGUCAAUUUUUCAGCAUAAUCGAAACAUAAUUUUCUCUGAAGGUUCUCGCGCGUUCAAAAUAAUUGAUCUUGGUGCUGCAACAGAUUUGAGAGUAGGAAUCAAUUAUAUUGCCAAGGAGUUUCUUUUAGAUCCAAGACCAGAUUUCAUGAAUGAUUCAUUGCCUUUCUCCGACCCAGACUGCCGAAACUGAGAGUGGACAACUAAUACAUUCGGUGAUCCCUGGAUGCCGAGGGCGUCCUUGGGGUGAUCUCAUAGUUCCAAUACUGUGGAGAUGAUUGGGUCGGUCUAUGGAUGUUCCUAAUUCCUUUUCUUUUGCUGCAUUUGCUCAAAGGGUUGAAGGGAGAUAGUGCAUCAUGCUUUUCGCAAGGGACAACUUGAUCUUCUUUACACGGAUAUAAAAUCUUUAGUGUUGUGAUUGCUUCACAAGGCCAGCGGUUGCAAUACAGGUGUUUUACUUUGUUGUAGGGGACAAUAGGCGAGGAGGCUUUGUUAAGGUAAAUCUAUUUUUCUGAACUUAACGCUUUGCUUUUGCUGCUAAUUGCAAAUAUAUAUACACCUUUAGUGUUUUGAUGCUAAUCGAAAAUAUAUGUACACCCUUAAUUUCCUUGCACAUUGCGAUCAAUUUUACUUGACAAUUAUUAGAUGGUCCUAUAUGAAAAUGGGUUGACGGGUUGAUUUCUUCCUGCUACCAUAAUAUUUUACUACUGGUGGUCACAAAACGUAAGAACUUAUCCUUCUAGCCUGCAUUACUUUGAAGUUUAAUAAUAGGGUACACUAUUUGCAGGAAUUAAUUUUUAAGUGUCUUAUACUUGAG